GGUGCGGAAAUUUAGUGGUGUAUUUCGAUUAUUUGGUGGUGUUCUACCAUAUCACAAAAAAUAUAUAUAAACUGCUGAUCUUACUUAGCGCUUCAUUCUCUUUCCGGUUAGGCUGUCAGAUAGAUCUAUGAUAGAUAGGAAUUUUGUAUUUAUAUCUAGCCAUCCUUCUAAAUAGUGAAAUGUAUUUAGUUUGAUUUUGGUUUAUUUCUAUCAUUGAGUAUUUAGUCUCGCGUUAUAUGUUAUUAUUUCAAUUGUAUUGAGAUUAUUUACAACGAUAUUCGGGCUGUUAAAAUAACUACUUUAUACUCUGUCUGAACACUUUUAUUUUUCACCAUAUAGGAAUGAGAGAGAGACGCACUUGCCAAGAUUAUAAUGUCAUAUGUCGUUAGGAGCUUAUCCUUUGACGUUUUUUAUUGACAAGUAUUAGCUUGGUUAUGAAGAAUUGAGAGAACUAUAUCAUACGUCGAAUUCUAUGUAUAAAAGAAAAACUGUAUAAACCAAGAUGAAGCUGAAA
Molecule: long non-coding RNA, 514 nt
Organism: Ruditapes philippinarum (Manila clam)
Lineage: Eukaryota; Metazoa; Mollusca; Bivalvia; Venerida; Veneridae
Exons: 2
Source: RefSeq, a predicted model, not a curated record